Non-coding RNA from Paramuricea clavata, 533 nucleotides. NCBI's taxonomy places the organism in Eukaryota, Metazoa, Cnidaria, Anthozoa, Malacalcyonacea, Plexauridae. The record is from the annotation of a GenBank genome assembly.
GGAAACAAUUUGUCCACCACCGAGUAAAUGAGAUCUUGAAGCUAACGAACAAAGGGGAUUGGGGGCAUUGUCCCGGGGUUGAAAAUCCUGCUGACAUUGGGUCUAGAGGUGUAAUUGCUUCACAAUUGAAAGAUAACAAGCUAUGGUGGGUGGGGCCAGAUUGGCUAACUAAGUCAAAAGAGGAGUGGCCAAAAUUUGAGGCUACUGAUAAGACAAAGACAGUUUUGGAAGAGGAACGAAAGUCUGUAGUUAUGGUUGUAAAGGUGACAGAGCCAGCUAGUAUAAGUAGAGUGAUUGACUUGAAUGAUUAUGGGACAGCAGAACGACUUUUUGGGGUAACAGCUUGGGUACUCAGGUUUGGGUUUAAUGUACGAGCAAAAGCAAGGGGCAUUGAUAGGCGAAGUGGAGAGUUGACAGUGAAUGAGUUAGUUGAGGCAGAGAAUAUAUGGAUUAAAGAGGCUCAGGCAGGGUUGAAAGUAGAUAGAAAGUACACCCAACUGAGUAAUAGUUUAGGUUUGAUGGAAGAGGAAGGC